UAUGCCUCUUACUAAAGAAUAACAGUUGGAAACGACUGCUAAUGCUUUAUAUAUCUUUUAUACAUAAGUAUUAAAAGGGAAAGAUUUAUCGGUAAGAGAUUAGCUUGUAUUGUAUCAGUUAGUUGGUGAGGUAAUGGCUUACCAAGACGAUGACGCAUAACUGGUUUGAGAGGAUGAUCAGUCACACUGGAACUGAGACACGGUCCAGACUCCUACGGGAGGCAGCAGUGGGGAAUAUUGCACAAUGGACGGAAGUCUGAUGCAGCAACGCCGCGUGGAGGAUGACACAUUUCGGUGCGUAAACUCCUUUUAUAUAAGAAGAUAAUGACGGUAUUAUAUGAAUAAGCACCGGCUAACUCCGUGCCAGCAGCCGCGGUAAUACGGGGGGUGCAAGCGUUACUCGGAAUCACUGGGCGUAAAGAGCAUGUAGGCGGAUUGAUAAGUUUGAAGUGAAAUCCUAUAGCUUAACUAUAGAACUGCUUUGAAAACUGUUAAUCUAGAAUGUGGGAGAGGUAGAUGGAAUUUCUGGUGUAGGGGUAAAAUCCGUAGAUAUCAGAAGGAAUACCGAUUGCGAAGGCGAUCUACUG
This 587-nucleotide ribosomal RNA is filed under the name uncultured bacterium. Its description in RNAcentral is "bacterial SSU rRNA". It matches the Rfam family "Bacterial small subunit ribosomal RNA", at positions 125 to 731 of the family's 1533-position model. The record is from RNAcentral.